Molecule: ribosomal RNA, 204 nt
Filed under: uncultured Gelria sp.
Lineage: Bacteria; Bacillati; Bacillota; Clostridia; Thermoanaerobacterales; Thermoanaerobacteraceae
Description: partial 16S ribosomal RNA
Rfam family: Bacterial small subunit ribosomal RNA
Source: RNAcentral
CGUUAAGUCCUCAUGGCCUUUAUGCCCAGGGCUACACACGUGCUACAAUGGGUGGUACAAAGAGAUGCAAUCUCGCAAGAGCAAGCAAACCUCAAAAAAGCCAAUCCUCAGUUCGGAUUGGAGUCUGCAACUCGACUCCAUGAAGUCGGAAUCGCUAGUAAUCGCGGAUCAGCACGCCCGCGGUCCGAAUACGUUCCGGGCCUU